This 408-nucleotide ribosomal RNA is filed under the name uncultured bacterium. RNAcentral's name for it is "partial 16S ribosomal RNA". It matches the Rfam family "Bacterial small subunit ribosomal RNA", at positions 28 to 526 of the family's 1533-position model. The record is from RNAcentral.
GACGAACGCUGGCGGCGUGCCUAAUACAUGCAAGUAGAACGCAGUUGCGCACGGGUGAGUAACGUGUCGGUCACCCGCCUCAUAGCGGGGGAAAACUAGUGGAAACGAUAGCUAAUACCCCAUUCUGUGAGACGGACCUGCGUUGUAUUGGCUAGUUGGUGAGGUAAAGGUUCACCAAGGCGCCGAGACACAGCCGCCCUGAGAGGGUGAUCCGCCACCCUGGGAAUGGAGAACGGCCCAGCAUCCUGCGGGAUGCAGGAGUAGGGAAUCAUCGGCAAUGGACGGAAGUCUGGCCGCGCAACGCCGCGUGAGUGAAGAAGGUUGUCGGAUCGUAAAGCUCUGUUGUUAGAGAAGCGGUAACUACCCAGAAAGGGACGGCUAACUACGUGCCAGCAGCCGCGGUAAUAC